AACGCGAAGAACCUUACCUGGGCUCGAAGCGCAGUGGAAUCCGGUGGAAACAUCGGCGCCCCUUAAAAGGCUGCUGCGGAGGUGCUGCAUGGCUGUCGUCAGCUCGUGUCGUGAGAUGUUGGGUUAAGUCCCGCAACGAGCGCAACCCUUGUCCUGUGUUGCCACUCCCGUAAGGGAAGCACUCUCAGGAGACCGCCAGCGAUAAGUUGGAGGAAGGUGGGGAUGAUGUCAAGUCAUCAUGGCCUUUAUGUCCAGGGCUACACACGUGCUACAAUGGACGGUACAAAGCGCCGCAAACCCGCGAGGGGGAGCCAAUCGCAAAAAACCGUUCUCAGUUCGGAUCGCAGGCUGCAACUCGCCUGCGUGAAGCUGGAAUCGCUAGUAAUGGCGUAUCAGAACGAUGCCGUGAAUACGUUCCCGGGCCUUGUACACACCGGAGUGC
RNAcentral lists this ribosomal RNA (442 nucleotides) under uncultured bacterium. RNAcentral describes it as "bacterial SSU rRNA". It matches the Rfam family "Bacterial small subunit ribosomal RNA", at positions 958 to 1398 of the family's 1533-position model. The record is from RNAcentral.